This 8427-nucleotide long non-coding RNA is filed under the name Sus scrofa (pig). Its description in RNAcentral is "lncRNA (ENSSSCG00000063104.1)". The record is from RNAcentral. Lineage: Eukaryota; Metazoa; Chordata; Mammalia; Artiodactyla; Suidae.
CCAUUGUGGUUCAGCAGGUUAAGAACCCGACUAGUAUCCAUGAGGAUGUAGGUUUGAUCCCUGGCCUCACUCAGUGGGUUAAGGAUCCAGCAUUGCUGUGGGCUGUGGUGUAGGUCGAAGAUGUGGACUGAGAUCCAGUGUGGCUGUAGGCCAACAGCUGCAGCUCUUGUUCGACUCCUAGCCCGGCAACAUCCAUAUGCCACAGGUGUGGCCUUUAAAAAAAAAAAAGGCAUAUUUAUUUAAUUCAGAAUUCUGUCUCAAAAGCUUUAUAAUUUCCAUGGCCUUCAAAGUAGGCAAAAUGGCAAGGAUAUUUCAGAGUAUGUUAAUGGCAUGACCCUCUGCUUUCAUUCUUUCGAUGUCUUCUUGUGGGGCUUGGCUUAACCCACAUUUUAUUUGUUCAUAGUUUAUGCAUUCCUUGUGAAAUAAAAAAACUACGGAACAUAGUUAAAAUAAGAAAGGGAGACUUCAUUCAAGACUAUUGCAGUUGUCAACUCUGCUGAAACAGAAGAUGAGAGGUUUUUAAGCACCGGGGGUGAGCUAGCAGAAAAGUUCUGGAGGAUAUUAUGGAGACGUGGAUCAGUGGGAUGUAUGGAGCAUGUAGUGUAAUUCUUGAGUCUGCAGAUGUUUUCCUCUGUGAUUGGACUAUCUGUGUUUGUUCAUUGAUGGUACCCUGCUACAGAGGUUGAGAGAUAGAGGCACUGUCCCUUCGCUCCUAGGGCCUUAAGAAAGACAUUCCUCAGUUGGAAAGUUGGAAAGAGUCUUUAAAAGGAUUUAUAUCUCAAAGGGGCAGAGAAAGAAUUUACAAUUUAAAGUUUUUUUCUAAGGAAAUCUGUUAAGAUUCCGGGGGCCUAGAGUCGGGAACAAACCUGUCUAAAUUUAGGCAAAGCUGAGGGGAACAUCAAGGUCUUGGUCUACCUUUUAUUUAAAUAUUACUCAUUAUUGGGAGCUUUUUAGUGGGACAAGCAUAUUGUUCUUUAAUUUCCAAAUGUAUGAAACUGACACAGAUGCCAACCCAACAAAGGAUACAUGCUUUUCAAAAUGAUUUAUUGAACAAAAGCUGAAGAAGUAAAAAUGAACACAUUUAGAGAUAAGAGAGUUAAAAAAAGAAAAAUUUCUAGAUUGGUCUCAUUUCUGAAGUACGAUGAUAGUCAACUCUCGAGGCAAUAUUGGCAAAAGUUAAGGUGAGAAACAUAGUAUUUAGGUAGAGUAUUACCUCGAAAAAAAGGUUGAGAAAUAUAAAAUUAAUUCCUAUUGUCCUAUAAAUAUCACCUAUUUGAUUUAAAAUCGCUAGUUUCUAUUUCUAAAGUGAAAUGGGUCAUUCUAAUGGGCUGUUCUACAUGGCUCACCUGCCCCUGCUCCCAGCACCACUCUUCUUAUUUUCCUGACAGCUCAUAAUUCUAUUUUAGAGUAAAACAUAUCUAGUUAGACGUUUUAUGUUUAGAGUAAAGUAUAGGGAACUAACUAGCUGUGUUUAAGGCCUAAACCAUCAUUACUACUACAUAGAAUGUUUUUAUCUAUGUUUUGUUAAAAAAAAAAAACCUUUAUAAAAUGUUGAUAGAUUAACAUUCCAGCAAUCUUUUCUCUGAAAUAGUCCCAGAUCUGCUCCUUCUAUUUUAAGAAUUUUAUAUCAUGGUGCCGUAAUCCAGACUAGUUUUUUGUUAUAUUGUAUCUUUAUGACUACAAAUUUUCUAUAUUUUCUUCUCCAAGGACUUUCUUUCUUAAUAGUAGUAUUAUGCUCUCAUUUCUAUCAGAACUUAAUGGAGGUUUCACUUUUUCUCAGUCAAGUACAAGUGCUUAUGGUUUCUUAACUGUGAUAUUCAUUCUCAUGUUUGAGCUUAUAUAUCUGCCAAUUUACCUUUCUGAAAUACUGUCUUUUUUUUUUUACACCCUUAACCUCAUCAGACUCCUCACUUCCCUCAAAUAUUUUAUGAGAAGUAUAUAUAGUAUCUAGAAUGGCAGAGCUCAGUAACCUUUAUUUUGAAAAAUAAGCCAAGUGAUUGUGAUUCAGCUGUCUACUAAAAUAUCUUCAAGGAUCACUAUUCUAGAAUUCUAAGCUUUCUUACUUUUGGCUAAGUAUUAGAGCAUUGGGAUUCAAGCCCUGGCUUUACCACCAUGUGUUCUGAAUUUGAGCAAAUCCCACAACUCUGUAUCCUAUUUGUAAAAUGGGAGAAUAUCUGCUUUUUUUUUAUAGAAUUGCAAAGAGUUGGGGCAGAUCAAGAGUAACGAGCCAUAACAUAAGCUAUUUAGAAAUAUAUAGAACACUACUGAAUUUCUUCAUUUCGUUAUUUGCAUGCAGUAAUUUACCUGUUACCAGGUGCUUGAGACAUGCUGCUAUAUUGCUUUUACAGUGUAAAAGGAGGGUUCUCGCCAGUUGUAGGUGAAUUUUCUGUGGUUGUGGUAACAGAUGGUGCUUCUGUGCCACCGUCAGCAGCAGUAGUGGUUUCAGUGGAGGCUGUAUUGAUGGCCACUGUAGUUGUAGGACCAGAGGUUGCUACUGGGGCAGUGGUGAUAGCAUCAGUUUCAGAUGUGUUGGUUGUGGUUCCUGCUGUGAUGGCUGUGGCAGUAGAGGUUCCUUCAGGAGGUGGAGUGGUAGUAUCUGUUGCAGCUGUGGAAACUACAGAAGGUUCUGUGGACUCUGCAGGAGUUGUGGUAGCUGCCAUACUUGUGGCAGGAAGAGUAGUAGCAUCUGCUGAGUCAGUAGUGACCUCACCAUCAGUGGCAGUUAUUUCAGCUUCUGUGAUGGAAAGUGAUAGAGUUGUAGUGGGAACUUCAGUGGUAGUGUCAUAUGCAAAUUGAGUAGUUUCCUCAUUCUCUAGAGUUGUAGCUUCAGUGGUUGAAAUAUCUGGUUCAUCAGUAGAGGCAAUAGUAACUGGGGUGGUAUUGGCAGUGGCAAUACCUGGUACACUUGUACCGGCAAUAGUUGCGGCUCCUGAGAUUGAUGGUGUGGUCACAAUACUUGUGGAAGCUGCUGUUGUUCCAGUGCUGGCUGCUAUGGGGACUGUGGUUGCAGCUGAAGCGCUGUUGCUGUAGUAGAUACAGAUGUGGUGGCAUCAGGAGAUGUGGUACUAGUGACUCUAGGUAUAGUAGUAGCACUUGUGGUGGCAUCAACCCCUGGAGUUGUGGAGGCUGAAGUAGUUAUGGUGGCAGCUCCCUCAGAUAUUCUAGUUGUAGCUGAAACAGUUGUACUUACAACUGGAGAUGUAGAGUCUAAUGGGGCUGUGGCAUUAGCAGGUCCAGUUGUGGUAGCUUCAGUGGUUGUGUCAUCUGCUGGCCCAGUGGUAGACUUUUCCCCUGGACUUGUAGCUACAGAAGCCUGGGUGGUAGUUUCACUCAGAGUAGUCAAUACACCAAGUUCAGUAGGAAACACUGAAGUAACAGGAGCCGAAGUGUCAGCACCUGCUACAGUUGUGCCAGGAACAGCAGUUGUAAUAGAAGUAACAGGAGCUGAAGUGUCAGCACCUGCUACAGUUGUACCAGGAGCUGCAGCUGUAAUACCAAUGGCUGAGGUUGUGACCACACCACUGGUAGUCGUGUCUAGCUUUAGGGUUGAAGAGGCUGCUGUUGUUGUGGUGAUUGUUCCCAGAGGUGUUGGGGUUGAGGAUCCAGUGGUUGUAGUAGCAGUGGAUGUGAGGUCUGUUUCCAAGGUUGUGGAGCCCAUUGCACCAGUUGUGACCUCAUUAGGUAAACUUGUUGUAGAAGCUACAGUUGUGUCAUCAGCUGAUUCUGUGGUUUCCUCAUCCACUGGAGUGGUAACUUCAGUGGUUGUGUCCAUCACUUGUUCAAUGGUAGUCUCAUCAGCUUCAGUGGUUGUGUUGACCACUGGUUCAGUGGUAGUCUCAUCAGCUUCAGUGGUUGUGUUGACAACUGGUUCAGUGGUAGUCUCAUCAGCUUCAGUGGUUGUGUCGACCACUGGUUCAGUGGUAGUCUCAUCCACUGGUGUGAUAACAGAAAUUGAUGUAGCUGUGGUGGUAGGACCAGGUGCACUGGUGGUUAUAGAACUUGGCACAUCUGUGGAUGUGGCUCCAGGUGCAACUGUGGUUGUGACAGAACCAGAAGCUGUGCUAGCAGUUCCAGGUAUUUUUGUGGUAGCAGAAGCAAGAGUUGUGGCAGCACUGGCUGAUGGUGAGGUAGCACCAGCACUGGUGGCACCAAUCCCUACAUUUGUGGUUACAACACCUGUGGAGGUUGUGGCUGCAGCAGUGGUGGCAGCCAUAGCAGAGGAUGUGGUACCUAGGUUUGCUGAAGUUGUAGAGGCAACCUGAAUGGUGGAAUCAACUGUAGAUGGAAAAGUGUUGUCAUUUGCUGUAUUUGCUUCAGUUUCUGAGUUCUCUAUGGUAAAAUUAGGUGCAAUAGUGUAGGCAGAGGUUAAGAGGGUUGUAGAGCCAGCUUCUGGGUUUAUGGAGGUUGUAGAGCUGGAAGCAGUAGAUUCUUGUGAUGUAGAUUCUACUGAAGGUGCCACUGAUGUCACAGAUGCAGUUGUAGUGGAGACAGCACCUAUUGCUGAGUUAAUGGUUGAUGUCACUCGGACAGUGGUAGCAGCCAUUGAAGACAGAGUUUCAGGUGUCCUGGUGACUGCAUCUGAUCCCUUGGUUGCAGUAAUUGGGCCUUUAGUUGUAAUCCUUUCAGGCCCUGCAGGUCUUGUUGGAGGUUUUGGCUUAUGACAGGGUGGCUUAUGAGGCAAAUGAGGUUGGUGUGCCUGGGGAUGUGGGGCACUUGGCCAAGGUCUUGGUGGAGGUGGAUAGGCUGGAUGAACCUUCAGUGGGCACUUAUGUGGUCGAUUCGGUUGUGGGUUGUGGGCGAGGACGUUUAGUAUGAUGAGAUUUAGAUGGAGGAGGUGGUUUUCUGACUUUAUGUGGACGUUUUUUCCGUGCAACUUGAACUGAUUUAGAUCCUUUUAGUUUAGAUGCCUUCAACCUUUUUUUGACAGGUGGAGAUUUCCCUUUUUUAGAUUGUUUUACAAUUUUGCCUGCUAAGGGAGGUGGUCUUUUUAUGCCUUGAAGGGAUUUAGGCUGAGGUGCGCCUUUUUUAAGAGGUUUAGAUGGUAUCUUUUCGGAUUUACUAGGCUCUUUCUUUGCUGUUAGAGUUUUGGACUGUCUUUUUUUAGGUGAUUUUGUAGAUUUACUCUUUGUAAGAACUUUUUUUGCAGUUCUUUUACUUGCCAUGAGCUGUUUCUCUGUAGGUGUUUUUUGAAUUUUCUUCUUAGCGAGAGAUCUUUCCGGUCCUGCUUGAGUAGACUUAGACAGACCUUUGGCAGCAGGUUUAGGUUUUUUUAGUUUUUUCUUUUUGGCCACAGUUUUUUUGAGAGCUGGAGGUUUGCCCUCUUUUGCUUGAUUUGAAUGCUUCCUAGCUGUUUUAGACAAGGAGCUUUUAGAUUUAUUUGGUCUCUUCUUUGAGGAUGGUGGUGUUCUUAGUACUGGUUUACGUGUUGUAGGGUGAUUCACUUGUUUCUUGGUAGGUGCAGUAAAAGUUUUUUUGGCUAUAGGGGUCUUCCUUUUUGUUGAAACAUCUUUUGGCUGAUUGAGCUUUAUCUUGGCAGAUGUAGGUGCUUUAGAUUUAGUUAGAUUUUUUCUUUUGGUUUUAGAAGCUGCUAUUGUUCCUGUUGUCUUAGCUGACCUUUUUUGGACUGGAGUUAACUGUUUAUUUUUUUGUUUCUUCAGAGUAUUCUUUUUGGCUACACUUUUUGGGGGGAUGGUUUUAACUGCUUUUGCCUGCUUCUGGUUUUUCUUGGUGGAUGAAGACAGAGUUUUAUGAGAUUUGGUUGGUAUUUUUCUGGAAGUUGAAGAAGUUUUGGGGGAAUCUUUUAUUGCCGUGGACUUAGAUGAUUGUACUUUGGGUAAUACAGACAAAGCUUUAGAUUUCUUCUUAGGUAAAGAUGUUUUUGGAACUGUUCUACUUGCUGGUUGUUUUAACUGUUUCUUAGCAGGUGUAGACUGGAUUUUCUUGGAUUUUUGUGGACUUUUCUUUUUAGCUGAAGUUCUUUUUGAAGCUGCCUUAGCUGUUCUUGACAAAUUCAACUGCUUCUUACCGGAGGUGGACAGGGAUUUCUCAGAUACAUUUAGACUUUUCUUUAUGGGUGAAGAUGAUUUUGGUGUUGCUGCAGUCCAUUUUGACUGUUUCUUGGCAGUUGUCUUUUGACCUUUUUUUGGCUGUUUCAGAGUUCUGCUGGCCUUCAGUGGAACAUUUCUUCCUGUUAGACUAGAGGAAUGAGGAGUCAGCCCUCCCUUGGCAGAGGUCAAUGUACUUUGUUUAGGCUUGACUUGUAGAUUUUGUCUUUGUGAUGGCUUUUUCUUUUUACUUGAUGGCCUUGGAUUUGAAGAUAAUUGGCUAGUUGCUUUUUUAGUCAGCACAGGUGUGACAGAGGCACGAGAAGAGGUUUGAGGUUUCCUAAUGAUCUGGGUGGAUGAAGAUCGGCUUUGCAAUAUCCUGACAGGGGAACUCUGCACUGGUCGACUCUUGACUGUCUUUCCUGUUGCCCGGCGCCGUGGUUGCUGACUCUCACUGACCUGUGGGGUAAAGAAUAGGGGAUAUUACCAAAUGAAACAGUCAGUCAGUUAUUGUCUUGUAGUCUCAUUUUAGUUUCAGUAACUUGUCUGCUCUUUAGGUUUAGGAGGUGCUUUGGUUUUGAAUGUUAGAAAAAUUUAGAAUAAAUUGCACUAUACAUUUAUUUAUUUAUUUUUCUUCUUUUUGUUUUUUAAUGGCCACACCUGUGGCAUAUAGAAUUUCCAAGGCUAGGAGUCAAAUUGGAGCUGCAGCUUCAGGCUUAUGCCACAGCCAUCUGAGCCUCAUCUGCGACCUAUGCCACAGCUUGUGGCAAGGUCAGAUUCUUAACCCACUGAUCCACAAUGGGAACUCCUGCACUAUAAGUUUAAAUAAAAAGGUAUAAUAUGUGUAUGAUUAGAGAAAGUACUUGGGUAUUACUUUCAAUGCUUACUGUAUUUACUUAGAAAAUCCAGCAAAAUAGAGAAAUGUAAUUUGGGGAAAUCCAAUGAGUUUGUUUGUAAAUCAAUGAAAACCUGUUUUUCCCUUAAAAACUGCAGAGUAAAACUCACUGUCAUGUCCUCUAGGAAUUAAUGAAAAAUCACAUAGGCAAGCAUGUUUCAUGAAUCUCAGUGAAAGCUUUACAACUAAACCCUAGUUAAGAAAUUAUUUAAAGAAGUAUUUUCUGUUGAGUUCAGAAAGUUAGAUAUUUAAAAAUGUGACAAAAAGCUGUUCUUCUUGCCUAUAAAAUUUUUGUCUGAGGCACUGAAUGCUGUGGGAAGAAUUUUAUAAGGAAAUAAUAGUGAUGGUAGAAAAGUAAGGGAUUCUUGGAACAGAGUGUUGUUGGUUAAAUAGAAUUGAACAGAUACUGAAGAGCACAUGCAGUUCUAAAAAUAGUGGAUACUAUGCUCUCUGAUCAAAGAGAGAUGUAAGGAAUUAGUGAAUAGCACAUAAUUACAUUAGGAGAGCAGAAGGAGGUCUUUCCCUCCCUCAAGAGAUAUAAAAGGAAAAAACAAAAGGCCAUAAAAGUCAAUAGACUCAGGCUCUUGUACAUUAAAAACCUAUUUUCAAAUAAGAUGUUUUAGAUAAUUCAAAUAUGUGUACUAUAAAAAUUUCUAUUUUAGAUGUCAGUAGAGGAGACCAUCCUGCAAUCUUCCUUUUCAUUGUAGUUAUGUCUUACAUGGGAGAACAUAUUACAGGUUGUUUUUUUUUUUUUUUGGCCUGGUCCACUGCAUAUGUAAGUUCCUGGACCAGGGAAUGAGGGAUUGAAUUCAUACCACAACAGCGACCCCGGGUACUGCAGUGACAAUGCAAGAUCCUUGUUGCUACAAGAGAACUCCAUGGAUUUUGAUCAUGAGAAUGUAAUAAUAGACCCAGAGAAUAAAUGAAAAUUAAGCUUGAGGGAUGAAUGAACUCACCCUUAUUUUUCACCUUUAGAAGGGAAGCUCUUUAAAAGUUGGUGCUGAAUGUAUAUGGACAUUAAAGAGAAAUGGAAGUCUUGGUGAUUUCUUUGCAAGUCUAGUUCUAUUCCUCCAAAUGCAUUUGGAGAUUUUUUUCAUACUUAAUCCUCCUCAACUAAUGGUCACUCCUUCGUCUGCACUCUCUCCCUCUUUCUUCUCUUUCUUUUCCCCUUCCAUGUUUGCCUUUGCUUUGCCCCUUCUCCUCACAUUCUAGGUGAUUUUAAAUAGAUGUAUUUUCAUGGAUGUUAGGGGUAGAAGGUAAUUUUUCCUGUUUUAUCUCAUGUGACUCUGUUCUAUUUUUAAAAUGCAAUGCCAGAGUUCCUGCUGUGGUGCAACAGGUUAAGGAUCCGGUGUUGUCUCUGCGGUGGUCCAGUUUGAUCCUCAGUCUGGCACAGUGGAUCGAGGAUUCAGCAUUGCCACAGCUGCGACAUAAGUCAGAGCUAGGGCUUAGACAAUCCCUGGUCUAGGAAUUGCCAUAUGCUGCAGAUGC